Molecule: ribosomal RNA, 136 nt
Filed under: Triticum dicoccoides
Lineage: Eukaryota; Viridiplantae; Streptophyta; Magnoliopsida; Poales; Poaceae
Source: RNAcentral
UGAGGUGUUACAUGCUAGAUCGAUGUGUCAUUGAGUCGGGGUCCUGACAUUCCAUCAGAACUCCGAAGUUAAGCGUGCUUGGGCGAGAGUAGUACUAGGAUGGGUGACCUCCUGGGAAGUCCUCGUGUUGCAUUCC